GUUUCUAUGGUGUAAUUGUAACACGGGACAUUUUCAUUGUUCAGUUAAAAAAUUUUUUUUAGAAACU
RNAcentral lists this transfer RNA (67 nucleotides) under Clibanarius infraspinatus. Its description in RNAcentral is "tRNA-Glu". Lineage: Eukaryota; Metazoa; Arthropoda; Malacostraca; Decapoda; Diogenidae. The record is from RNAcentral.